AUACUUGCCUGCAGCGGGAGAUACCAUGAUCACAAAAUGGUUUUCCAGGUUAGUCCAUUGCACUCAGGAUGGGCCGACCAGUGAUUUCCCCCAAAUGUGGCAAAACUCAACUGCAUGAUGUUGUGGUGGUGGGGGACUGUUCCGUGUUUCUCCUC
RNAcentral lists this small nuclear RNA (155 nucleotides) under Ursus americanus (American black bear). Its description in RNAcentral is "U1 spliceosomal RNA (ENSUAMG00000021696.1)". It matches the Rfam family "U1 spliceosomal RNA". From Rfam's summary of the family: U1 is a small nuclear RNA (snRNA) component of the spliceosome (involved in pre-mRNA splicing). Lineage: Eukaryota; Metazoa; Chordata; Mammalia; Carnivora; Ursidae. The record is from Rfam by way of RNAcentral.